Molecule: ribosomal RNA, 220 nt
Filed under: uncultured bacterium
Lineage: Bacteria
Description: partial 16S ribosomal RNA
Rfam family: Bacterial small subunit ribosomal RNA
Source: RNAcentral
GAUCCUGGCUCAGGAUGAACGCUGACAGAAUGCUUAACACAUGCAAGUCUUUGGCGAAGCUGCGCUUGCGCAGACAAGCCAAGGCGGACGGGUGAGUAACGCGUAAGGAACUUGCCCUGCAGGACAGGGAUAACAGACGGAAACGACUGACAAGACCUGAUACAGUUGCCGGCACGCAUGUGCCUGGCGAUGAAAGGAGACGCUGCAGGAAAGCCUUGCG